This 522-nucleotide ribosomal RNA is filed under the name uncultured low G+C Gram-positive bacterium. Its description in RNAcentral is "bacterial SSU rRNA". It matches the Rfam family "Bacterial small subunit ribosomal RNA", at positions 9 to 524 of the family's 1533-position model. The record is from RNAcentral. Lineage: Bacteria; Bacillati; Bacillota.
GAGUUUGAUCCUGGCUCAGGACGAACGCUGGCGGCGUGCUUAAGACAUGCAAGUCGAACGGGCCGAGGCUCUUCGGGGCCUUGGUUAGUGGCGGACGGGUGAGUAACACGUGAGCAACCUGCCCUUGGGGCCGGGAUAACACCUCGAAAGGGGUGCUAAUACCGGAUAAGGUCCCUCUUUCACAUGGGAGGGGGAGGAAAGGUGGCGGACUCCAUUGGAGUUCGGCGCCGCCGGAGGAGGGGCUCGCGGCCCAUUAGCUAGUUGGUGUGGUAACGGCGCACCAAGGCGACGAUGGGUAGCCGGCCUGAGAGGGUGAACGGCCACACUGGGACUGAGACACGGCCCAGACUCCUACGGGAGGCAGCAGUCGGGAAUCUUCGACAAUGGGCGAAAGCCUGAUCGAGCAACGCCGCGUGGGUGAGGACGGCCUUCGGGUUGUAAAACCCUGUCCCGGGGGACGAAAAAAAUGACGGUACCCCGGGAGGAAGCCCCGGCUAACUACGUGCCAGCAGCCGCGGUAAU